CGUAAGGGGAUUAACUCGCUCAUCGCGCUCACUGCCUGGUCCAUUUGAAAGCACCGCAACGCUGCCGUCUUCGACAAUGCCCGGCCCUGUAAUGAUGAUCUUGCUCGCACAAUCAAAGAUGAGGCCCGCUUGUGGGCACGUGCUGGAGCAACUGAGUUAGCAUCAACGUUCCUGUAA
Molecule: ribosomal RNA, 177 nt
Filed under: Triticum aestivum (bread wheat)
Lineage: Eukaryota; Viridiplantae; Streptophyta; Magnoliopsida; Poales; Poaceae
Description: partial small subunit ribosomal RNA
Source: RNAcentral